UACGGAGGGGGCUAGCGUUGUUCGGAAUUACUGGGCGUAAAGCGCACGUAGGCGGCUUUGUAAGUUAGAGGUGAAAGCCCGGGGCUCAACUCCGGAACUGCCUUUAAGACUGCAUCGCUAGAAUUGUGGAGAGGUAAGUGGAAUUCCGAGUGUAGAGGUGAAAUUCGUAGAUAUUCGGAAGAACACCAGUGGCGAAGGCGGCUCACUGGACCGGUAUUGACGCUGAGGUGCGAAAGCGUGGGGAGCAAACAGG
RNAcentral lists this ribosomal RNA (253 nucleotides) under uncultured bacterium. Its description in RNAcentral is "partial 16S ribosomal RNA". It matches the Rfam family "Bacterial small subunit ribosomal RNA", at positions 524 to 776 of the family's 1533-position model. The record is from RNAcentral.